This 492-nucleotide ribosomal RNA is filed under the name uncultured bacterium. Its description in RNAcentral is "partial 16S ribosomal RNA". It matches the Rfam family "Bacterial small subunit ribosomal RNA", at positions 29 to 507 of the family's 1533-position model. The record is from RNAcentral.
AGUGAACGCUGGCGGUAGGCCUAACACAUGCAAGUCGAACGGCAGCACAGUAAGAGCUUGCUCUUACGGGUGGCGAGUGGCGGACGGGUGAGGAAUACAUCGGAAUCUACUUUUUCGUGGGGGAUAACGUAGGGAAACUUACGCUAAUACCGCAUACGACCUACGGGUGAAAGCAGGGGAUCUUCGGACCUUGCGCGAUUGAAUGAGCCGAUGUCGGAUUAGCUAGUUGGCGGGGUAAAGGCCCACCAAGGCGACGAUCCGUAGCUGGUCUGAGAGGAUGAUCAGCCACACGGGAACUGAGACAGGGCCCAGACUCCUACGGGAGGCAGCAGUGGGGAAUAUUGGACAAUGGGCGCAAGCCUAAUCCAGCAAUACCGCGUGGGUGAAGAAGGCCUUCGGGUUGUAAAGCCCUUUUGUUGGGAAAGAAAAGCAGCAGGUUAAUACCCCGCUGUUCUGACGGUACCCAAAGAAUAAGCACCGGCUAACUUCGUG